This is a non-coding RNA of Termitomyces sp. Mi166#008, 84 nucleotides long. The record is from the annotation of a GenBank genome assembly. Lineage: Eukaryota; Fungi; Basidiomycota; Agaricomycetes; Agaricales; Lyophyllaceae.
GGGCACAUGGUGUAGUUGGUUAUCACGCCCGCUUAGCAUUUCAAUGUCUGCGGGCGGUGCCCGGUUCAAUUCCGGGUGUGUCCA